UUCUGGAGUUCCUUCCUUGGUGAAUCUCUCCCCUGUAAAUAUAGAAUCUUCUGAUACAGGUGUUCAUCUGGCUCACAAGCCAAAACAUCCUGGGAGAGGCUCUUGCAGCCAUGUUUGCAGCCCAUCAGAUAAGGUUUGUGGCCCGGAGCAGGCAUGCUGCUGCGAGGCUCCUGCUCUGGCUGGGCCAAGGACAUCAGGCUGGGGCUUCAAGGCCAGAUCCCAAGUGUGAAGACAAUGCAUAAGACAAUGAUGAAGUGUUCAACCCAAGGAGCAACCUCUGCCAGGGAGCCCUGUGGAACAGCCAAGAGGGAGCAGGGUGAUGAGGAUGGGCAAAGAUGUUUUCUCAGUAGCCUGAUGACACCAGAGCAUGAGAUGGUUGCUGCACAUCCCAAGGGCUUCACUGUGCUGGAUUGUCUGUGUCAACCCCAGGGACUCCUCAGUGCCACAGGAGCCUGUUUUUUCCUUCCAUUGGAAAUGCUUCACAUUGACUUUCUGCUGUUUCUCUAACCCUUCUGGCACUAUGAAUACUUGCAAUUUCUUUUUUCCCAAAGAGCUGAAUCUAGUCACUUUUUUUCCUCCAGGCUUCUGGGGAAACGGAAAGGUACUUAACUUAUGUUUUAUUCAUUGCAGUCACUAUCUCUUGUUAAUUUACUUACAUUAUUUACAGAAUUUUAAAGUAUUUUGUAUGUCAGGCAGCAUCCCAGGCCCUAUAAAAUGCUAAUUUUCCAACUGUAUCAGAGGUAAACAUCUUUCCUGGGCCUCUAGGUGGACAAAGGGUCAUCCCUAUUCUUAAUUCAUUUUUCAUGUUUCUAUAUAUAAAUGCAAUAAAGCCUGCUUGAAUGGCAGAUCUCAAACAA
Coturnix japonica (Japanese quail) is the source of this 857-nucleotide long non-coding RNA. RefSeq lists it as uncharacterized. Lineage: Eukaryota; Metazoa; Chordata; Aves; Galliformes; Phasianidae. The record is from RefSeq and is a predicted model, not a curated record.